This 439-nucleotide ribosomal RNA is filed under the name uncultured bacterium. RNAcentral's name for it is "partial 16S ribosomal RNA". It matches the Rfam family "Bacterial small subunit ribosomal RNA", at positions 339 to 795 of the family's 1533-position model. The record is from RNAcentral.
CUACGGGGUGCAGCAGUGAGGAAUAUUGCACAAUGGGGGGAACCCUGAUGCAGCAACGCCGCGUGGAGGAUGACGCAUUUCGGUGUGUAAACUCCUUUUAUAUGUCAAGAAAAUGACGGUAGCAUAUGAAUAAGCACCGGCUAACUCCGUGCCAGCAGCCGCGGUAAUACGGAGGGUGCAAGCGUUACUCGGAAUCACCGGGCGUAAAGGACGCGUAGGCGGGUUGGAAAGUCAGGUGUGAAAUCCCACAGCUUAACUGUAGAACUGCACUUGAAACUUCUAAUCUAGAGUAUGGGAGGGGGAGAUGGAAUUAGUGGUGUAGGGGUAAAAUCCGUAGAUAUCACUAGGAAUACCUAAAGCGAAGGCGAUCUCCUGGAACAUUACUGACGCUAAGGCGUGAAAGCGUGGGGAGCAAACAGGAUUAGAUACCCGAGUAGUC